AUGUAACGGUGACUCCAGAGGGAUUCCGGUACCGGGGCCAGAUCUUCCCAACCGUGAAUGGACUGUUUAGAUGGUUUAAGGAUCACUACCAGGAUCCUGUACCAGGUGAGUUCUGCUCUUCCUGACUUCAGGGACGUGGCUGGAGGAACACCUAGGACCUGACUCAGAGUAGUCCCAGCCUAGGGGACCAGGUGAGGAGUAGGCUGUCACUGCAGCUGUCUUACUCCUCCUGCAGCCUCCCAGCACCAGGAAGGUUCUCCAUCCACUGUGCCUAUGCAGCUUCCCUUCCUCCCUCCACCUACUUCAGUGCCCCUUCCACCCCCUGAAUUGGGAAACCAAAAAUAGGUUUCUGGAGGGAUGUAACUAAAUAAUCACUUCCUGCAGGCAUCACCCCUAGCAGCAGCAGCAGGACCCGGACACCUGCCUCUAUCAAUGCUACCCCAGCCAACAUCAACCUUGCAGAUCUGACACGGGCUGUGAAUGCCCUGCCUCAGAACAUGACUUCACAGAUGUUCAGUGCCAUUGCUGCGGUGACAGGCCAAGGACAGAACCCUAAUGCCACCCCAGCCCAGUGGGCCUCC
This 581-nucleotide small RNA is filed under the name Pan troglodytes (chimpanzee). Its description in RNAcentral is "retained intron". Lineage: Eukaryota; Metazoa; Chordata; Mammalia; Primates; Hominidae. The record is from RNAcentral.